Non-coding RNA from Glossina palpalis gambiensis, 94 nucleotides. The record is from Rfam. Lineage: Eukaryota; Metazoa; Arthropoda; Insecta; Diptera; Glossinidae.
GGGGGCUGAUUUUUAGUACGUAUGUGCAAUGGGCGGCGAAUUGUGCAUGCUGCUAUUAAGAACCAGCAGUAUCUUUUGAAAAUUUUCUACCUCC